CCCUUAGAUGUUCUGGGCCGCACGCGUGCUACACUGAACGGUUCAAUGGGUAAGGUAGUGCGAAAGCAUGACCUAAUCUCGAAAUCCGUUCGUGCUGGGGGUAGAAGCUUGCAAUUAUCCUUCUUGAACGAGGAAUACCUUGUAAGCGUGAGUCAUCAUCUCACGCUGAAUACGUCCCUGCCCUUUGUACACACCGCCCGUCGCUCCUACCGAUUGAGUGUUCCGGUGAGGCUUUGGGAGAAUGGCCUCAACAUGAGUUUAUCGUGUUUUGCCGUUUGAACUUAGUCAAACCUUAUCACUUAGAGGAAGGAGAAGUCGUAACA
This 323-nucleotide ribosomal RNA is filed under the name uncultured eukaryote. RNAcentral's name for it is "partial 18S ribosomal RNA". It matches the Rfam family "Eukaryotic small subunit ribosomal RNA", at positions 1470 to 1796 of the family's 1831-position model. The record is from RNAcentral.